Passer domesticus (house sparrow) is the source of this 243-nucleotide long non-coding RNA. RefSeq lists it as uncharacterized. The transcript has 3 exons. NCBI's taxonomy places the organism in Eukaryota, Metazoa, Chordata, Aves, Passeriformes, Passeridae. The record is from RefSeq and is a predicted model, not a curated record.
GUAUUAGUCUGUAUGGGUUGAAGUCUUUUGGUAGUGUAUGGUGUGACUGUGUAUCGUGGCCAUCUCAACUGCAGCAUUAUAUGACUCAAAAAUACGGAAGAUUUGCCUUGAUGAUUCUUUGGGACUGAGAAGGAUAAAGAAUUGUGGAUUUCUACAGAUGAAUGAGAUCAUGAUAGCUAUGAAACUUCUGGGAAAAGUGUCAGCAAUUCAGGGGAAGCAUGAAGUCUAGGCUUUUAGCUUAAG